RNAcentral lists this ribosomal RNA (258 nucleotides) under uncultured bacterium. RNAcentral's name for it is "partial 16S ribosomal RNA". It matches the Rfam family "Bacterial small subunit ribosomal RNA", at positions 524 to 776 of the family's 1533-position model. The record is from RNAcentral.
UACGGGGGGGAGCAAGCGUUGUUCGGAUUUACUGGGCGUAAAGGGCGCGUAGGCGGUCGUGACAAGUCACUUGUGAAAUCUCCGGGCUUAACUCGGAACGGUCAAGUGAUACUGUCGGACUAGAGUACAGAAGGGGCAACUGGAAUUCUCGGGUGUAGCGGUGAAAUUCGUAGAUAUUGGGAAAGAACACCGGUGGCGAAGGCGGCCAACUGGACCCAUUUCUGACGCUGAGGCGCGAAAGCGUGGGGAGCAAACAGG